AGGAUGAACGCUGGCGGUGUGCCUAAUACAUGCAAGUCGAACGAGACCUUCGGGUCGAGUGGCGGACGGGUGAGUAACACGUUGGUACCUACCCCGAAGUGGGGAAUAACUGCCCGAAAGGGUGGCUAAUACCGCAUAAUACCGCAAGGUUAAAGCGAGUAAUCGCGCUUCGGGAGGGGCCUGCGUCCCAUUAGCUAGUUGGUAGGGUAAUGGCCUACCAAGGCGACGAUGGGUAGCUGGAUCGAGAGGUUGACCAGCCACACUGGGACUGAGAUACGGCCCAGACUCCUACGGGAGGCAGCAGUAAGGAAUCUUCCACAAUGGACGAAAGUCUGAUGGAGCAACACCGCGUGCAGGAUGACGGUCUUCGGAUUGUAAACUGUCUUUUAUAUGGAAGAUUAUGACGGUACCAUAUGAAUAAGGACCGCUAACUACGCGCCAGCAGCCGC
Molecule: ribosomal RNA, 449 nt
Filed under: uncultured bacterium
Lineage: Bacteria
Description: SSU rRNA
Rfam family: Bacterial small subunit ribosomal RNA
Source: RNAcentral